Molecule: ribosomal RNA, 253 nt
Filed under: uncultured bacterium
Lineage: Bacteria
Description: partial 16S ribosomal RNA
Rfam family: Bacterial small subunit ribosomal RNA
Source: RNAcentral
UACGGGGGGGGCAAGCGUUGUUCGGAAUUACUGGGCGUAAAGGGCUCGUAGGCGGUUUUGUAAGUCGGGUGUGAAAUCCCCAAGCUUAACUUGGGAACUGCAUUCGAGACUGCAUAGCUAGAGUAUGGGAGAGGGAAGUGGAAUUUCAGGUGUAGCGGUGAAAUGCGUAGAUAUCUGAAGGAACAUCAGUGGCGAAAGCGACUUCCUGGACCAAUACUGACGCUCAUGUGCGAAAGCGUGGGGAGCAAACAGG